UACGUAGGUGGCGAGCGUUAUCCGGAAUGAUUGGGCGUAAAGGGUGCGUAGGUGGUUUCUUAAGUCAGAGGUGAAAGGCUACGGCUCAACCGUAGUAAGCCUUUGAAACUGGGGAACUUGAGUGCAGGAGAGGAGAGUGGAAUUCCUAGUGUAGCGGUGAAAUGCGUAGAUAUUAGGAAGAACACCAGUGGCGAAGGCGAUUCUCUGGACUGUAACUGACGCUGAGGCUCGAAAGCGUGGGGAGCAAACAGG
RNAcentral lists this ribosomal RNA (252 nucleotides) under uncultured bacterium. RNAcentral describes it as "partial 16S ribosomal RNA". It matches the Rfam family "Bacterial small subunit ribosomal RNA", at positions 524 to 776 of the family's 1533-position model. The record is from RNAcentral.